UACGUAGGGGGCCAGCGUUGUCCGGACUUACUGGGCGUAAAGCGCGCGCAGGCGGACUCGUAUGUGCCGUGUGAAAGCGCCGGACUUCCUCCGGCGAGGUCAUGGUAGACAGCGGGUCUUGAGGCUCAGAGAGGUCGGUGGAAUUCCGGGUGGAGCGGUGAAAUGCGCAGAGAUCAGGAGGAACACCCGUAGCGAAGGCGGCACUCUGGGCCGAUACUGACACUGAGGAGCGAAAGCGUGGGGAGCGAACAGG
RNAcentral lists this ribosomal RNA (253 nucleotides) under uncultured bacterium. Its description in RNAcentral is "partial 16S ribosomal RNA". It matches the Rfam family "Bacterial small subunit ribosomal RNA", at positions 524 to 776 of the family's 1533-position model. The record is from RNAcentral.